GCAUCUAACACUUUCAUGCAUAUUUACAAAUACAUAAAAAAGGCUAGUUCAUUUGCAUAACUAUAUCAUGAUACUUAAAACAAAUGUAUAUAUAUACAAUCCCUCCAUCACAUUUCAAAUAGUAUAAAAACUAUGUAAUUUUUGAAAAUAUAACAAUUCAAUCCAUAUUCAAUCAUUUCAAUUCCAUUAAACUACUCUUUUCAUCUAUUUUCGCCCGGAGACCCCUAGUAAAUUGAACUUGGAUAUACGAGAUUUAUUUAUUCACAUAAGAUGACAAAAAUGCAGAUGACUUGAACUUGUUUAGACAGAAAGUUGCCUCGUCAGUUUUUCAUCCACCAGCCUUUAGUGUCGCAACAUUCAUGGAAAUUGACUUCAUAAAGGGCUUGAGGGUCACUUGGUGUCACAACACAACCUUGUUGGUGCCGCGACCUGGACGACAGGCCACUACUUCCCUUCACUUCAAUGUUUGGCUUGGAGUCACAACCUCGAGGGCUUAGAGUCUUGAAUUUGAGGCUUAGUGUUGCGACACCCUAUACUUAAUGUUACGACCUCCAAAGUAGACUACUUUAGGUUAAGUUUUGGUGAAGUUCAACUUCUUCGAGGUGAUGGAAGGUUAGCGUUGCGACACAUAGGCGUCCAUGUCAUGACGAGGAUGGAAGGUCAAUUUCAUUAGACCUAAGCUUUGGUGUUGCGACAACCAUAGCAAUUGGCUUCAUUGAGGGCUCAAGGGUCACAUGGUGUCGUGACACGACCUUGCCGGUGUCGUUACCUGGACAACAAGCCAUUAGGUUCCCUUCACUUCAACAUUUGACUUAGAUUCGCACCCUCAAGGGCUUGAAAUUGUGACUUUGAGGCUCAGUGCCGCAACACCCUAUACUCAGUGUCGUGACCUUCACAAUUGGCUACUCUAGGUUAAACUUUGGUGAAGUUCAAAUUCAUUGUGGUGAUUGAAGGUUAGUGUCGCAACACACAAACACCUAUGUCACAACUUCCACAAUAGUUGAGGUCCUCAUUGAUGUUUGGCCUUAAUCACCUCUCUACACAAACGCAAAUCAAUCAUUAGACCUCCAAUGGCAUAGUUUUGUCACUUUGUGUAUCAAAAGUGAUAAAAAUAUGAUGAAAAUUAGCAUUGAAACUAAAAAAUAAUAAUCAAUAAAAACAUUAAAAAAGACUUUUAAACUAUUUGAGAAUAAGCUCAUUAACUGUAACACCCCCUAACCCCAAACCAUCACCGGAAUAGGAUUACGAGGCAUUACCGGACAUAUAUGAUAAUUUACAAUAAUUCUUAAAUAAAUAUCAAACAUAUUAAGAUAAAAUCAUAAAUUCAUAUAAAAUUACAAAUUGACUUUUUUUUUAUAAAAAUUUCGGCAGCAUUUCUGCUUACUUUUACACUAAACCUCCUGCAAAUAAAACCAUAAAUUUUUACAAACAUAACCAAUUCAGCCAAUUCAACCAAUUCAUUUCAUAUUCUUAUUUUCUAUUCUAAAUACAUUCUAAUCAAACUCAAUUAAUUCAAUAUUAAUUUAAAUUUAUCAAUGUACUAAUUAAUUUGGAAUGGAUAAAUUUCUUUCAUUGAAAUUCUCAGAUUUAUAAUACUAACAUUUUUAGCUAUUUAUAUUCAAAACAUAAUAACGUUUAUACACAUCCUAUGUACAUGCCACAUUCUAAAAGAAAAUAUAUAUCACCAAAAUUUGCUGAAGUCGGGUCUGGUUUUGGACGCUGGCUCAAUACUUGACUUCUACAACCUGCGCAUGGAAACAACCGUACGCUGAGUAUUUUUAUACUCAGUGGUAUUACCAUAAUUCAAAUUAUAAUAACAAUAAAGAAUUAUAAUUACCAAGCAUGUAAUUAUCCAAUUUCUUAAAUAUCAAUUAAUUCAUAAACUUUCAUUACUUAACAAUCACAGUAAAAUUUAUAGUUAUUCUUCAAUUUCAAUCACAUAUCAGAUGUAACAAUUUCAAUCACCCUCAUAUUCAAUACUACAAUCGAUCAAAUUCAUUUAAUUUUCUCAUUUCAAUUAUUCACCCUAUUAACAAUCUGGACUUUGACGGAUACACGGAUUCCAACCCAAUCACACCAGUACGGCACAUUGUGCCUAAAACGGUACAUAGUACCUGAUCAGUAUACGACACAUAAGUGCCUGAAACGACACACGAGGUGCCUGAUACGACACACGAGGUGCCUGAUAUACGACACAUAAAGUGCCUGAUCGACAAAACCGAUAAAUCCCGUACUCUUCCAAAUCCUAUGGCAUGCCAACUAUAUCCGACUUAGCCCGACUAGUUAAUAGGGUAUUUAAAUUCUCAAUUCUCUUCCAUUUCCAAUGCAAGAUCACUUUUCCACUUUCUAGUCAAUUAACAAUUUAAUACCAAUACAUAUUUCAAAUAAUCACAUAUAAUCAUAUUUUGAUUCAAUUCAAUUCACUUUUCUAUCAAUACACAAUCCACAUUUUCACACAUAUUCAUAAAUUAAUUCACUUUAUUUAAUUCAUAUUUUAAAAUUCAUUUUUCAAUCAAAUUUAAAUCACUAAUACUUUUUAAUCAAUAUACAUUUCAAAUAUUCACAUAUUUCCAUCAUUCAAUUUAAUUUGAUUCAAUUCAAGUCACUAUUAUCAUUCCAAUUGCUUACCUAAUUUUUACUUACCAUGCAUUUUAAUUAAAAUAUAACAAUCAAUAAUAAAUAAAUUUGAAUUAUAGUAAUACAAACCCGAAUUUUGCUCGAUUAUUCCUCAAUAACCUUCUCCUUUCCUUUGUGUGCCGAUGCCUCGAGUUCUUUGUUAGUUACGAAAAUAAUAAUAAUUUACACCAUCACUUACAACAUUAAUUUAUAAUAAUAAUAGAAUUUCUAUCUAAUUUAUACUUUAAUUCUAAUUUAAUCCUAACUAAAUUUAUUUACUUUUCCAAUUUAAUUCACACUCUAUUUCUAUUCAAAUUUCAUCCAAACUAAAUUUUAUCUACUAAUUUCUUCAGAAUUUUUCACUAAUUUCGAAUUUCCCUCAAUUUAAUCCCUAAAAUUCAAAACUUAUAGUUUAGUUCACAAUUUUAUCCUUUUAUCAACUCUAACUAGAACUCUAUCAAAUAAAUCAUCAAUUCCAUCAUUUAUUCAACAUAAACCCUAAAAAAAAUCUAUUAACUUUCAAAUUUUCAACUUAAAUCCAAAAGUAUUUCACUCUAGGGUUCCAAAAAAAACAUCAAAAUGAAGAGAAAAGGACUAAAUUUAGCUUACCAAUUAACUUGAAGCUUAAAAAUCUCAAUUUCCCCUUUUCUUUUCUUUCCUUUCUUUCUUCCCCUGUUUUUCGUCUCUUUCUCUGUUUCUUUUCUAGCUAUUCUGUUUCUUUUCUUCUUUGUUUCUUUC
Molecule: long non-coding RNA, 3354 nt
Filed under: Gossypium barbadense (sea-island cotton)
Lineage: Eukaryota; Viridiplantae; Streptophyta; Magnoliopsida; Malvales; Malvaceae
Description: long non-coding RNA (GBAR_LNC022079)
Source: RNAcentral